UACGUAGGGGGCAAGCGUUGUCCGGAUUUACUGGGCGUAAAGAGCGCGCAGGCGGUCGUUCAAGUCGCGUGUGAAAGCCCCCGGCUCAACUGGGGAGGGUCACGCGAUACUGAUCGACUCGAAGGCAGGAGAGGGAAGCGGAAUUCCCGGUGUAGUGGUGAAAUGCGUAGAUAUCGGGAGGAACACCAGUGGCGAAGGCGGCUUCCUGGCCUGUUCUUGACGCUGAGGCGCGAAAGCUAGGGGAGCAAACGGG
This 253-nucleotide ribosomal RNA is filed under the name uncultured bacterium. Its description in RNAcentral is "partial 16S ribosomal RNA". It matches the Rfam family "Bacterial small subunit ribosomal RNA", at positions 524 to 776 of the family's 1533-position model. The record is from RNAcentral.